GUUGUAGGUACUGUGCAACAUUGAGAAAGCACAGAAGCAGCAGCAGAAGACUUACGGAAGUCGGAAGAGGAAGAAGCAAUGUCAGUGUUGGUGAUGAUGUCCUCAUUUCGGGAAACCCCAAAAAACAGCGGUUCAAAGACUCCCUAGCCCACCGCCAUCACGGUCCAUUUACGGUGACCAGCAUUUCCUCAAAGGGUGUGGCUGUUGUGGUGAAAGACAAUGGGAUGUGUCACCAACUCAACGUCUCCCAUUUAAGGCCAUACUACCGAUUAGAAAAUCGUGGACAGGCUGAGGGGUCGUUUCUGGAGGACCAUAUGUACUGGACAUCAGAACAGAACACUGACCAUGUUUAUGCUUCCCUUGGACAGAAGUGGGAAAAAGAUUUGGGUCCUCAAAAGGAUAAACUGGCAAGUGCCAUUUCAAUCUUUCCGCAUUACAUUUGUCAAAUUCCAGUUUAUGAAGCUCAUGUGCAGGUUGUGAUUGGCUGUACAGUGUACUUACUGAAGUGGUUUGAUAAUUAGUGGAAUUUUAAUUGUGAUUAGCUGAAAUACAUCCUGGACACAGACUGUCCUGCAGGAGAGCUGGUUGUGAAGGACACUGACGUCUGCCUUACAUGUGAAGACUUCAGGAGUCUAGGAUUAAAUCGGUUAAUGGAUUCCAAUAUUAGAAAUGCCUGCUUCAAAGUGGUGAAAGAGGCUGCUCGAAGACAUGUAAUUACAGUACCUGUGGUAUUUCAUAUAGUUGUAUUUUUUUAACUAAAUGAACUUUUGAUAUAAAUUCAUAAUACUGUAUUAAAUGGGGGAAAGAUGUUCACAUUGUCGACAUGUAUGCUAUGCCUACUUGGAAGACAAAGAAUGUGGACCCACUGGUUGGCAUGCCAGUAAGUGCUUUUACGUAAUGUGCGUGCAGGUGAUGCAACCUUACACAAACACAAAAAUUAAUGUUUUUGUCUCAACUGCAGGAUGACCUGGGAUCAAAGGAUGCCAUAUUGUUUCCGGCAUGGAGCAGUUGGCAGGAUCAGAUGGACCACUAUCUGCUUUGUGUUGAGUUGCAAUUGUUAUUGAUAUUCAGCAAAUGCUUUUGUUGCUGAACUUACUGUGAUGCAUUGCUUAUAUUCUUCUUUCAAAUUAUGCUCUCUGCAGGUUUUAUUGGCGGCAAAAAAAGAGAUAUCCUUUUCUGGACUCUCUUAUUCCUGAUGGUUUUGGAGAUGAGGUCUAGAGAACCAUAUUUAGGUCCAGAGAUUACAGAGACAUUUGGCCUUGUUCUAUGGCUCAUUGUAUAGCAGAUUUUGUCAUUGUUUAAACAGUGUUUUUUUUCCCUAAACCCUUGUUCUAUGGGUACAGGUUUCAGGAGGAGCCUUCCCAGAUAGCAAACAUAUGUUGAAAUGGCAUUGAUUCCAUAUUAAACAACUUUGAUCUUCAAUGUUGAUUUAGCAUUGACCUUGUUCGUUCAAAAGGCCAUCGAUCCAACAUUGAAAAAUCAACCAUUUGUGAUAAGGAUUCAACGUUGUUUCAACACUUGUUUGGCAACUUCUUUAUCCAUUGAUUUAAUGUUGAAUUAGUGUAUGUUGAAUCAAUAUUGGGUUAUAAUUGUUUCCCAAGUGAAUUAAUGUUGAAAUGAUGUUAUAUCUAGCAGGGCUUGCUAAUGAUUAAUAAAAAAAUAACAUGUACAAAUAUUUUAAUUGAAUAUUUAAAUAUUAAGUCAGUCAAAGUGAAAAUAAAUUUUAGCCAUCUCAGCUAUAUAUGAGACCAGAACACAUGAUUCCAGUUAUUAGAGUACAAGAAUUUUUAUUAAUAAAUUACAAAUAUCAACUCUAAACACAAAAACGGUUUUGGUUUAUUGGUUUCUGAUUCUUCGCUUUGCCCCUGCCUGUUCCUUUUGCCUUGGUUUGUUUGCUUUUUGGUUUCGGUUUCUUGCCCAGGUUUGGUUUACGUCUUUGCGCGUCCCUCGGACUCUGACGCUUUGCUGUGUGUAUGUUUUGUGUGUACAUUAGGUGCGUAGGGAGUGGUUGCCAUUUUUGUUUGUGACCUUUUGUUGUUGAUUGGUUAAGAAGUAAGGAGUAGUAUUUGUUGUUUUUGUUCUUUGAGUUCUUUGCAUUUAGAUAAAUUAGCCUUGGGUUGCGUUCAGUUCCUGGGGUUUUGUUGAUUGUUUUGGCUAUAAUCACUUCUGAGUCCUUCUACACCUGGUUUAUUAGUUCAGUACGGGUCUGUCGCGUGUAAAUAAAAACCAGAAAAAUAUAAAAAUAUACCCAUUUGUCCACGUAUAUUCCCUUGUCCACCACACCCUGUGUUUCCCUUAUUCCACUUCCCCUUUCCCUUCCAUUCUGUUACGCCCCAACCCUAGACUGGGGCUCGUAACACUACAAUGCAUUUUUUCCCCGUAGCAAAAGGUUCUCGGUGGAAAGGAGCCUUCAAAAUGGCUAGAGCGAUUCCAGAAGAAGUCAGCCACCCAGGUCCCUGUGUACCUGGAUUCUGAGGAUCACCAAGACUACCUGUUCUUCUACCUGCAGAGUCUUCUAAGAACUGCACCAACAGCUUUUGAAGUCAGGGAUCAAGUGCAGUUCAUCUUGGAUGUUCUGUUUCCAGAGGUUAGGCAAUUCGAUAUAGUGAUUUCUGUUUAUGAAAUUAGUACACAAUCCUGUUGGAAAUCCAUUUAGUGGUUUUUAUAUUAUUACUAUACAUAAGAGAAAAAAAAUCUGUUUCUCUAUAUUAGUCCAUCGUCCACGCCCUUACUGCU
Non-coding RNA from Paramormyrops kingsleyae, 2736 nucleotides. The record is from RefSeq and is a predicted model, not a curated record. NCBI's taxonomy places the organism in Eukaryota, Metazoa, Chordata, Actinopteri, Osteoglossiformes, Mormyridae.